GAUGAACGCUGGCGGCGUGCCUAAUACAUGCAAAUCGAGCGAACAGAUGAGGAGCUUGCUCCUCUGACGUUAGCGGCGGACGGGUGAGUAACACGUGGAUAACCUACCUAUAAGACUGGGAUAACUUCGGGAAACCGGAGCUAAUACCGGAUAAUAUAUUGAACCGCAUGGUUCAAUAGUGAAAGACGGUUUUGCUGUCACUUAUAGAUGGAUCCGCGCCGCAUUAGCUAGUUGGUAAGGUAACGGCUUACCAAGGCAACGAUGCGUAGCCGACCUGAGAGGGUGAUCGGCCACACUGGAACUGAGACACGGUCCAGACUCCUACGGGAGGCAGCAGUAGGGAAUCUUCCGCAAUGGGCGAAAGCUUGACGGAGCAACGCCGCGUGAGUGAUGAAGGUCUUCGGAUCGUAAAACUCUGUUAUUAGGGAAGAACAAAUGUGUAAGUAACUAUGCACGUCUUGACGGUACCUAAUCAGAAAGCCACGGCUAACUACGUG
RNAcentral lists this ribosomal RNA (497 nucleotides) under uncultured bacterium. Its description in RNAcentral is "partial 16S ribosomal RNA". It matches the Rfam family "Bacterial small subunit ribosomal RNA", at positions 28 to 507 of the family's 1533-position model. The record is from RNAcentral.